Picea glauca (white spruce) is the source of this 124-nucleotide non-coding RNA. NCBI's taxonomy places the organism in Eukaryota, Viridiplantae, Streptophyta, Pinopsida, Pinales, Pinaceae. The record is from Rfam.
UCUUAUCUACAUGCCUACAUUGUUAAUGCAACGGGUCCCAUUAGAACUCCAUAAUUAAGUGUGUUAGGGCUAGAGUAGUACUAGGAUGGGUGACCUCCCAGGAAGUCUUAGUGUUUUACAUGCC